GCCUGGUUGGCUCAAUAGGUAGGGAAAGCAUCAGACUCUUGAUCUUGGGGUUGUGAGUUCAAGCCCCACAUUGGGUA
This 77-nucleotide transfer RNA is filed under the name Canis lupus familiaris (dog). It matches the Rfam family "tRNA". From Rfam's summary of the family: Transfer RNA (tRNA) molecules are approximately 80 nucleotides in length. Lineage: Eukaryota; Metazoa; Chordata; Mammalia; Carnivora; Canidae. The record is from Rfam by way of RNAcentral. RNAcentral also lists the same sequence under 2 other names.